This 595-nucleotide long non-coding RNA is filed under the name Phoenix dactylifera (date palm). RNAcentral's name for it is "long non-coding RNA (PDAC_LNC001942)". Lineage: Eukaryota; Viridiplantae; Streptophyta; Magnoliopsida; Arecales; Arecaceae. The record is from RNAcentral.
CAGCUUGGUAGACCAUGUUGAAAGAAUUCAAUAUAUCUCAGUGAUGCUUUGCACUGUGUGGAUUUCACUUGUAGGAAUACAGAAGGUACCUUAAAAUCAACAAGCCUUAUCCAAUAUAAUCAGGUUCAGCUUUAUGAAUUAAAGUGUGAUUAAUCAACGUACAAAUAUGUUUCAUGACGGGAAACUGAAUUUUAUAUCGACAAUCUAUGAAUUAGUGUAAAAUUUCUUCUAUUCGCAUCUUUUAGCAAUAAAUGUAGAGAAAACCCAGCCAUGAAACCUAUAAGGCCUCUUGGCUGGAAGGAAAGGCUAUCAGUUAUGUUCUUUAUGCUCAAGCUCGUGCAACAGGCGAGCAAUCCUCAAUACAAAACCAAGACAAACUGAGAAGGAAUUUAGGUUCAUCAUAGGAAAUCUUAUUCAUCUAUAGGUCCAGAAGUACAAAGCAAGAGCCCAAAUCGAAAAAUUAUCAACAUACAAGCAUAUAAGUACUCUACAUAAACAGGCGAGCAAUCCUCAAUCCAAAACCAAGACAAACUGAGAAGGAAUUUAGGUUCAUCAUAGGAAAUCUUAUUCAUCUAUAGGUCCAGAAGUACAAAGC